GUCGGGAUAGCUCAGCUGGUAGAGCAGAGGACUGAAAAUCCUCGUGUCAA
This 50-nucleotide transfer RNA is filed under the name Pentactina rupicola. Its description in RNAcentral is "partial tRNA-Phe". It matches the Rfam family "tRNA", at positions 1 to 48 of the family's 71-position model. Rfam says of the family: Transfer RNA (tRNA) molecules are approximately 80 nucleotides in length. The record is from RNAcentral. Lineage: Eukaryota; Viridiplantae; Streptophyta; Magnoliopsida; Rosales; Rosaceae.